UUUGUACUCCCUCCGUCUAAAAAUUCUUGUCUUAAAUUUGUCUAAAUACGGAUGUAUCUAGUUACAUUUUAGUGUUAGAUACAUCCAUAUCUAAACAAAUGUAAGACAAGAAUUUUGGGACGCAUGGAAUACUAC
Molecule: non-coding RNA, 135 nt
Organism: Triticum aestivum (bread wheat)
Lineage: Eukaryota; Viridiplantae; Streptophyta; Magnoliopsida; Poales; Poaceae
Source: Rfam